GACGAACCGUGCGAACGUUGUUCGGAUUCACUGGGCUUAAAGGGCGCGUAGGCGGGUGAUCAAGUCCGGGGUGAAAUCUUUCGGCUUAACCGGAAAAGUGCCUUGGAUACUGGUCGCCUGGAGGGAGGUAGGGGCAUGUGGAACUUCCGGUGGAGCGGUGAAAUGCGUAGAUAUCGGGAGGAACACCAGAGGCGAAGGCGGGCUACUGGGCCGAUACUGACGCUGAUGCGCGAAAGCCAGGGGAGCAAACGGG
This 253-nucleotide ribosomal RNA is filed under the name uncultured prokaryote. RNAcentral's name for it is "partial 16S ribosomal RNA". It matches the Rfam family "Bacterial small subunit ribosomal RNA", at positions 524 to 776 of the family's 1533-position model. The record is from RNAcentral.